AUGCUCUUGGUAAGCACUGUGUGGUUGUGUUCUUAUACUGACAGUACAGAAAGAGAAGGCAGAGUAAAUCCACCCAAUAUACACCUCAGCCCAAGCACUUUGACUGGUCUGUAUUGUGAAUGGGGGGACAUGG
This is a small nucleolar RNA of Artibeus jamaicensis (Jamaican fruit-eating bat), 133 nucleotides long. RefSeq annotates it as small nucleolar RNA SNORA51. The record is from RefSeq and is a predicted model, not a curated record. Lineage: Eukaryota; Metazoa; Chordata; Mammalia; Chiroptera; Phyllostomidae. The transcript has a single exon.